ACCCUACGGGAGGCAGCAGUGGGGGAUAUUGGACAAUGGGGGAAACCCUGAUCCAGCGACGCCGCGUGAGUGAAGAAGUAUUUCGGUAUGUAAAGCUCUGUCAGCAGGGAAGAAAGAAAUGACGGUACCUGACCAAGAAGCCCCGGCUAACUACGUGCCAGCAGCCGCGGUAAUACGUAGGGGGCAAGCGUUAUCCGGAUUUACUGGGUGUAAAGGGAGCGUAGACGGCAUAGCAAGUCUGAAGUGAAAGCCCGUGGCUCAACCGCGGAACUGCUUUGGAAACUGUUAAGCUGGAGUACUGGAGA
Molecule: ribosomal RNA, 305 nt
Filed under: uncultured bacterium
Lineage: Bacteria
Description: bacterial SSU rRNA
Rfam family: Bacterial small subunit ribosomal RNA
Source: RNAcentral